CUACGGGAGGCAGCAGUGAGGAAUAUUGCACAAUGGGGGCAACCCUGAUCCAGCAAUGCCGCGUGUGUGAAGAAGGCCUGCGGGUUGUAAAGCACUUUCAGUUGGGAGGAAGGCGUUUAGGCUAAUACCCUGAAUGUUUGACGUUACCUACAGAAGAAGCACCGGCUAACUCUGUGCCAGCAGCCGCGGUAAUACAGAGGGUGCAAGCGUUAAUCGGAUUUACUGGGCGUAAAGCGCGCGUAGGCGGUUUAUUAAGUUGGAUGUGAAAUCCCUGGGCUUAACCUGGGCAUUGCAUCCAAACUGGUAGGCUAGAGUUUGAGAGAGGGGUGUGGAAUUUCCAGUGUAGCGGUGAAAUGCGUAGAUAUUGGAAGGAACAUCAGUGGCGAAGGCGACACUCUGGCUCAAAACUGACGCUGAGGUGCGAAAGCGUGGGUAGCAAACAGGAUUAGAUACCCGUGUAGUC
This 463-nucleotide ribosomal RNA is filed under the name uncultured bacterium. Its description in RNAcentral is "partial 16S ribosomal RNA". It matches the Rfam family "Bacterial small subunit ribosomal RNA", at positions 339 to 795 of the family's 1533-position model. The record is from RNAcentral.